CAUGNNGUCUUAACAUGCNAGUCGAACGAUGAACCACUUCGGUGGGGAUUAGUGGCGAACGGGUGAGUAACACGUUGGGCAAUCUGCCCUGCACUCUGGGACAAGCCCUGGAAACGGGGUCUAAUACCGGAUACUGACCCGCCUGGGCAUCCAGGCGGUUCGAAAGCUCCGGCGGUGCAGGAUGAGCCCGCGGCCUAUCAGCUUGUUGGUGAGGUAACGGCUCACCAAGGCGACGACGGGUAGCCGGCCUGAGAGGGCGACCGGCCACACUGGGACUGAGACACGGCCCAGACUCCUACGGAAGGCAGCAGA
RNAcentral lists this ribosomal RNA (312 nucleotides) under Streptomyces sp. RNB-0-5-18b. RNAcentral's name for it is "bacterial SSU rRNA". It matches the Rfam family "Bacterial small subunit ribosomal RNA", at positions 54 to 354 of the family's 1533-position model. The record is from RNAcentral. Lineage: Bacteria; Bacillati; Actinomycetota; Actinomycetes; Kitasatosporales; Streptomycetaceae.